UAUGGGUAUUUCCAAAGGGAUGCAUGUAA
Molecule: non-coding RNA, 29 nt
Filed under: Rattus norvegicus (Norway rat)
Lineage: Eukaryota; Metazoa; Chordata; Mammalia; Rodentia; Muridae
Source: RNAcentral